This 239-nucleotide ribosomal RNA is filed under the name uncultured bacterium. Its description in RNAcentral is "partial 16S ribosomal RNA". It matches the Rfam family "Bacterial small subunit ribosomal RNA", at positions 15 to 235 of the family's 1533-position model. The record is from RNAcentral.
GAUCAUGCUCAGGAUGAACGCUGGCGGCGUGCCUAACACAUGCAAGUCGAGCGAAGCAUUUUAAAGGAAGUUUUCGGAUGGAAUUUGAAAUGACUGAGCGGCGGACGGGUGAAGGUAACGCGUGGGUAACCUGCCUCAUACAGGGGGAUAACAGUUAGAAAUGACUGCUAAUACCGCAUAAGCACACAGUACCGCAUGGUACAGUGUGAAAAACUCCGGUGGUAUGAGAUGGACCCGCG